UAGGGAAUCUUCGGCAAUGGGGGCAACCCUGACCGAGCAACGCCGCGUGAGUGAAGAAGGUUUUCGGAUCGUAAAGCUCUGUUGUAAGUCAAGAACGAGUGUGAGAGUGGAAAGUUCACACUGUGACGGUAGCUUACCAGAAGGGGACGGCUAACUACGUGCCAGCAGCCGCGGUAAUACGUAGGUCCCGAGCGUUGUCCGGAUUUAUUGGGCGUAAAGCGAGCGCAGGCGGUUUGAUAAGUCUGAAGUUAAAGGCUGUGGCUCAACUAUAGUUCGCUUUGGAAACUGUCAAACUUGAGUGCAGAAGGGGAGAGUGGAAUUCCAUGUGUAGCGGUGAAAUGCGUAGAUAUAUGGAGGAACACCGGUGGCGAAAGCGGCUCUCUGGUCUGUAACUGACGCUGAGGCUCGAAAGCGUGGGGAGCGAACAGGAUUAGAUACCCUGGUAGUCCACGCCGUACGAUGAGUGCUAGGUGUUGGAUCCUUUCCGGGAUUCAGUGCCGCAGCUAACGCAUUAAGCACUCCGCCUGGGGAGUACGACCGCAAGGUU
Molecule: ribosomal RNA, 547 nt
Filed under: uncultured bacterium
Lineage: Bacteria
Description: bacterial SSU rRNA
Rfam family: Bacterial small subunit ribosomal RNA
Source: RNAcentral